Molecule: unclassified non-coding RNA, 554 nt
Filed under: Hevea brasiliensis (rubber tree)
Lineage: Eukaryota; Viridiplantae; Streptophyta; Magnoliopsida; Malpighiales; Euphorbiaceae
Source: RNAcentral
CUGGCUUCAAUCAAACCAAGACUUUGUGCUGAUGCCAUCGGCAUCACAAUUUGAUAGCCUUAUAGCAGAAGGAUCCUCCAAGUGGCGCAAACUCUGCAACGAUCAGUCCUAUAUGAACUCCUUCCCAGAUAACCACUUUGAUCUUGAGACAGUUUUGAAGGCUGAUCUCAGGCCUUUAACCAUCUUGGGCAAUAAAUCUUUUACUGGGAUUUUUAGCCCGGAAAAGUUUGAAAACUUGAAGGGAGCCAAGUCUUUUGAUGAUAUAUGGAAAGAAAUAAGUAGCAGUACUGAAGAUUAUGAUCAGAGGAUCUAUAUUGUGAGUUGGAAUGAUCAUUUCUUUGUGUUGAAAGCAAAUGCUGAUGCCUUCUACAUCAUUGAUUCCUUAGGAGAGAGGCUCUUUGAGGGCUGCAACCAGGCAUACAUCUUAAAGUUUGAUGAGUCGUCUGUGAUGUACGGGAAGGUGGUGAAAGAAGAGGACGAUUCCAAUGAAAUGACAGUAACAGAGAAGCCCAAUGAUGAUGAGGAACAAGGGGCAGGGAUAUUUUGCAAAGGGC